UCCUGCCAGCACCUUCUUGUAUUUUUACCCCUUUAACUGCGACAACCUGGUUUUCUGCAAACGACGGAGGACACAGAGGACAUGCAGUGGCCAGCAGCUGUUUGACACAUGCACGGAGCCUCCACCAGCGCUGCUGCUGCUGCUGCUGCUGCACACCGGGGGGAGAGUUCACGUCACAGAAACGGUCGUGUAUUUACGCCACUUAUUUGUUGGAGAAGUGUUUGCGUCCACGGCUCCUCGCGCCACACUCCGGCGCGUAAAAGCUCAGGUCACCUGGACGAGACAGCGGUCUCUUUUCCCUUUGUGAGUAAAACUUCUGCAUGGCACCUGUUCAUUCGUUUGUUUGUUUUGUUUUGUUUUGUUUGCUGCAGGCUGGAGGAGGAGAGCGCCUUUAGGUCCGAACAUGCAGCCGAACAUGACUCAGUGACCACCAGGUUCCAUCGAUACCACGGUCCUUCCUGCUGCUGCAAGUCGGAGAAAAAUUGAAAAGGAGAAUAUAAAUGCAGUUGGGGUUGUUUUUUGUCGAAAUGAAUGCGUCGAGGCCAGACUUCUGAAUGUGUCUUUCUCGUCGGGUUGGACACAUGAUUUCACACAGUGCAACACCUUUUUAAAGGGCCAAUUAACUGUGAUUAUGCUCGCAAAGAAGGGGAAAAAAGGUGCUGCUCCCUGACUCUAUAGCCUGUGGGGGAAUAGUUUACUUUUCUGCGUCAUUUAAAAGUCGACCUUAAACGGGUUUGUGGAAGGCUGCGCAGGAACACCUCGCGUCUUAGACGCGUUUGCUCUCCAGAAAAUGUGCCUUUUUCCUCCCUUUUCUUUUCUUUUUUUUGUCCUGCCUUUGGUUGGAGUGCACGAAUGCAAUGCUGCUUCCUUCCUCCAUCCCCGGAAGAGAGGUGUGCUGUGUUCACUCACCUGCACAGAAUCCGUUUAUCAGAUUGUCUGGUAAGACCGACUACAGGCAGAUGCCAUUUAGAAUCAACUCGAAAAAAACACAAACAAUAUGAUUUUUGCGCAAUUAAGUGCGUAAAGUAGUAGCUGCUGCUAUUUUUAUUUUAGUCUCCUCUAACCACAUUAGUCCUCACAGCACCUGAACACAACUGUGUGAGUAAACUAGACACAGAUCCUUUACAGCACUGAUGGCUGCAAUGUUUGUGUGUCAAGAUAUGGUUUACAACAUUCUCCCCUCUAUGCAUUAGGGCCUCUACAGGCCAAUUUCCUUUAUGUCACACUGAACUCCCAUAACCAGACAAUAACUGAUUGUUUACUUUGGCUAUACAUUGCAAAUAAGAAUAAUCUGGCGAGGGUGAGGUAUCCAUAGUUGAGUGGACUGGUGUGGUUCGACUGUGGCCCUCAAACCUACAACACACAGUUUGUACAGCUAUUCUUCUUGGGACACUGCGUUCACUUCCAUUCAUUUGUACAGAAUAAACACAGUGUUAUCCCCGA
Long non-coding RNA from Solea senegalensis (Senegalese sole), 1443 nucleotides. RefSeq lists it as uncharacterized. NCBI's taxonomy places the organism in Eukaryota, Metazoa, Chordata, Actinopteri, Pleuronectiformes, Soleidae. The record is from RefSeq and is a predicted model, not a curated record. The transcript is spliced from 3 exons.